UCCACGCAGUAAACGUUGAUCACUAGGUGAAGCGGGUAUUGACCCCUGCUGUGCCGCAGUUAACGCAUUAAGUGAUCCGCCUGGGGAGUACGGUCGCAAGAUUAAAACUCAAAGGAAUUGGACGGGGGCCCGCACAAGCGGUGGAGCAUGUGGUUUAAUUCAACGCAACGCGAAGAACCUUACCUGGAUUUGACAUCUCGGGAAUCCUAUCGAAAGACUGGAGUGCCCUUCCG
Molecule: ribosomal RNA, 233 nt
Filed under: uncultured bacterium
Lineage: Bacteria
Description: partial 16S ribosomal RNA
Rfam family: Bacterial small subunit ribosomal RNA
Source: RNAcentral